CUCCUGGAGCUAAUAAGUAUAGCAGGGUUGCAGGAUACAGGGUUAAUAUAUAAAAGUCAAUUGCUUUCCUAUGCACCAGCAAUAAACAAAUGGAACUUAAAAACAAUACCAUUUAUAUUACCACCCCUAAAAAUAAAAUACGUAAGUAUAAAUCUAACAAAAUGUGUGCAAGAUCCGUACGAAGAAAACUAUAAAACUGUGAUGAAAGAAAGAACUACAUAAAUGCAGAGAUAGUCCAUGUUCAUGGAUAGGAAGAGUCAAUAUUAUCAAGAUGUCAAUUCUUCCCAAAUUGAUCUAUAGAUUCAAUGCAAUCCAAAUCAAAAUCUCAGCAAGUUUUCUUGUGGAUAUUGACAAACUGAUUCUAAAGUUUAUAUGGAGAAGCAAGAGACCCAAGAUAGCCAACACAGUACUGAAGAAGAACAAAAUCGAAGGACUGAUAUUACCUGACUUCAUGACUUACUUACAGAGCUACAAUAAUCAAGACAAAAUAGACAACAGGCAGAAAUAAAUGGAACAUAAAUGAGAUCCCAAAAUAGACCCACAUAAAUAUAAUUAGCUGAUCUUUGAUGAAGAAGGAAAGGCAAUACAGUGGAGCAAAGAUGGUAUUUUCAACAAAUGGUGUCAGAACACCUGGACAUCGAUAUGCAAAUAAGUUGAAUCUAGACACAGACCUUACACCCUUUACAAAAAUUAACUCAAAAUGGGUCAUAGAACUAAGUGUAAAACAUAAAACUAUAAAACUCUUAGAAGAUAACAUAGGAGGGGUGCCUGGGUGGCUUAGCUAAGCGUCUGACUUUAGCUCAGGUCACGAUCUCAUGGUUCAUGGGUUUGAGUCCCAUGGGGCUCUGUGCAGAUAGCUCAGAGCUACUUCGGAUUCUGUAUCUCCCUCUCUCUCCGCCCCUCCCAUGCUCCCACUGUCUCUUUCAGAUAAACAUUUUUUAAAAAAGGAGAAGAAAGUAGAAGAAAGAAGGAGGAGGAGAAGGAGGAAGGAGUGAGGAAGCAAGAAGAAGAAGAAAGGAGGAGGAGGAGAAGGAGGAAGGAAGGAAGGAAAAGGAGAGGGAGAAGAAGAAAACAUAGGAGUAAACCUAAAUGACUUUGAGUUUGGUGAUGACUUUUUAGAUCACCAGAGACACAACCCAUGAAAGAAAGAAUUGAUAAGUUGCAAAUUAAAUUUUCUGCUCUAUGAGCGACACUGUCAAGAAAAUUAAAAGGCAUGCCACAGACUGGGAGAAAAUAUGUGCAAAAUGCAUAUCUGAUAAAAGACUAUUCUCCAAAAUACUCAAAGAACUCUUAAAAUUCAAGAAUAAGAAAACAACCAAUUUAAAAUUGGGCCAAAGACUUUACCAGGUAGAUCACCAAAAAGAUAUACAGUUGGAAAAUAAGCAUAUGAAAAGAUGCUUCAUAUCAUAUGUCAUCAGGGAAAUGCAAAUGAAAACAACAAGGUAUCCUCACAUACCGUUAGAAUGGCCAAAAUCUAGAUCACUGACACCACCAAAUGCUGAUGAGGAUGUGGAGCAACAGGAACUCUUCUUUGUUGCUGGUGAGAAUGCAACAUGAUGCAGCCACUUUGGAAAUCAGUUUGGCAGUUUCUUAGAAAAGUAAACAUACUCUUACCAUAUAACUCAACAGUCAUGCUCCUUGGUAUUUACUCAAAGGACUCAAAUACUAUGGCCAAUAAUAAUCUGAACAUGGAUAUUUAUAGUAGCUCUAUUCAUAAUUGCCAAAAUUUGGAAGUAAUCAAGAUGUCUUUCAGUAGGUGAAUGGAUAAAUAAACUGUGGUACAUCCAAACAAUGGAAUAUUAUUCAACACUAAAAAGAAAUGAGCUGUGAAGCCAUCAAAAGUCAUGGAGGAAACAAAUGCAUAUUAAUCAAUGAAAGAAGAAUCAUAUACUACACACUAUGUAGUUCCAACUAUAUGAUGUUCUGGAAAAGGUAACAAUGUGAGGACAGUAGAUAUUAAUGGUUGCUAGGGUUUAGUGAGCAGAGAGGUUUUCCAGGGCAAUGAAACUAUUCUGUAGGAUACUAUAAUGAUGGAUACAUGUCAUUUACACCUGUCAAAACUCAUAGAAUGCACAACACCAAGGAUGAAACCUAAUGAACACUAUGGAUUUUAAGUGAUGCUGAUGUAUCAAUGUAGUUUUAUCAGUUUGUAACAAAUGUACCACUCUGAUGGGGGUGUUAAUAAUGAGGGGGCCUGUGCUUUUAUGAAGGCAAGUAAUUUUAUGGGAAAUCUGUGUAUCUUCUGCUCAGUUUUGCUAUGAACCCAACAUGACUAAGUCGGUUGUUAAAAAAACAAACAAACAAAAAGUACUUCGGGGAGGUUUUAUUUUUCAUAAGAGUCUUCUGCUUUCACUACAUGUGAAUCUGAGUGUGUCAGUAAGGCCUCUACAGGAUUUGAAAGGCAUUCCUAAAAGUUUAUUGUCAGGGAAGCAUGCUGACAUUGGAAGCCUUGAACCAAGAAUUGGUAAGGUUCUGGUUGAAUAAUUGUGUAGAUUCCAUAAGCAUAGGAUUACUCUUUAUGUGUGCAUGUUUGGAAGAAUUACAAAAUACGAAUAGUGCUCCAUGUGAAGAGUCAUAUGCUAGAGCAGUUAGUUAUAAAACUUGACAUGUAAGAAUUACCUGGGGAUCUGUUAAAACUCCAAAGGCUCAAGCUAUAUACACCUCAUAACAAUUAGAAUCUAGAGAGGUGGGACUGGGGCACCAGUAAUUUUUAAAAAUUUUUUAAAGUUUAUUUUUUUAGUAGUCUCUACACCUAGUGUGGGACUUUGAAAUCACAAUCCCGAGAUCAAGAGUUAGAUGUUCUUCCAACUGAGCCAGCCAAGCACCCCAGCACUGGUCAUUUUUAAAGCCCACCAGGGAGUUUCAGUGUGCAGCAAAGUUUGAGAACCAGAGUUCUAAAGGAAGUGUUUAAUUUUAUUCCAUCUCCAUAUGAAGAUAAGUUCAUUAAUAAUAAUUCCCAAAGGCCCUGGUCUGUUAGUACUUUGCAGGUGUGGAAGAUGUUGGAGGUGUUGGAAGGAUACUUGUUAAUAAUAAUUUUUUAAUUUUUAUUUUGAGAGAGAGUGCACAAGUAAAUGCAUAUAUGAGCGGGGGAGGGACAGAGAGAGAAUCCCAAGCAGGCUCCGUGUUGUCAGUGCAAUGCCCAACGUGGGGCUCAAUCCCACGAACUGUGAGAUCAUGACCUGAGCCAAAAUCAAGAGUCGGAUACUUAACCGACUGAGCCACCCAGGUGCCCCAAUAGCAAUAAUAAUCAAUAAAACUUAUUAAAUGCAAAAUAAAAUCCAUAAGCCUCAAAGAGUUAAUGCAGUUUCCAAAGGUGUUUGACAGAAAAGAAACAGUCUAGGCACAGGGAGAAUCUGGCUUAUUGGGAGCAAAUGAAGCCAAGAUUUUAAAAUGUCUUUUAAUGUGAAACACGUAUGUGCCCCUGGGCCUGAAAACAAGCCACAACCUUCCCAGUUGUGGUGAAGGUUCCUAACAAUAGAAAUGAGUUGCGGUACAAUGUUAUUUAAACUGAAAAGUUCUGAGGAGAAUUUUGAUUUGUAGAGGAGGUCACAGAUGGGAGAAGACAAGUGCAGAGGGAGAGGCUAUUUUUCUAUGACUCAGAUUCUGAUUACAAAGAGAGCAGAUUUAGCUGCUAGUUCUCAUUAUCUGUGUAUGCAGAAGAGAACCAAACAAGCCUAACAAAAUGAAAAUUGAUAUUUAAUCACAAAGCUAGAAGGUACCUUAUUAAAUUGACCUGCUUUGGUAUUGAGAUAAUUAGUUGUGGUUUUAAGUGUCCUUAUGGAAGCACUCUCAUUCAUGGUGGUGUGGGCUUCUGUUUGCUUCUUGCUUAAGGGACAUCAGUUCUUCAAUAGAACUCUGUCAAACAUUCUGAUGCUACAUGGGCUGUGUGGUUUUUGUUUUAAAUUUGUAUUUUAAAAUAAUCAUAGAUUCAUAGGAAAUUGCAAAAAAAAAAAAAAUGUGCAGGGAAUUCCUUAUGCAUCCUUCACCAAGUCUUCCCCUAUGGUAAUGUCAUAUAGAGUUAUGUCUCAAAACCGAGAAAUUGACAUUGGAAUACUCCACAGAGCUUAUUCUGAUUUACCAACACUCAUGUGUAUGCGUGUGUGUGUCUGUGCAUCUGUGUGGUUCUACGCAAUGUCAUCCUGUAUAGUUUCAUGUAACACCACUGUGAUCAAGACACAGUGUUCCACGUGGGGUUUGAAGAACUGUAAAGGGAUUCAGAAUGAGUCACUUUGCUUGUGGUCCCACCAGCUUGAGUUCAGGACUUUUUAUUUUGGGGGACUGCUGCUUUGUGGGGAUAGGUAGCAUAGCUUUUGCAACAUAAAGUGACUUUUCUUAUGUGAUCAUCAUUAAAGGUGUGUUUCUCAAGGACUAUGUUUUGAGGAAGAAAAUCAUGGUCACUUUAUGUGAAGGAAGUGAAAUGGUAAAUUUGUACCCCAAAACAUAAAAUCUGUUAGUGGUCUUUAUUUUGGGGGCAAGUCCACCGAUUCUGGCAUAACAACAAUGGACUCAAUCCUAGAAAAGUUCCUCUUCUGCCAAGUUUUAGAACAUUUGAGGCUUGUUCAAUAAAUGGUGCAACUUUCUAGUUCCUGAAACAGAAGACUGUCGAUCCCCCAGAGAAAUGCCCUGGUAUGUUUGAAGUGAAUAGGUAUGAUUCUACAAUAAAGAAAUGGAAAGUCACUUAAUAGCAUCUUCUAAGCAUUGUCAACAUAUUAAAAUCCGCCUCACUUAUGUUUUAUAGGUAAUUGCUGUCUCCAGAACUUAAGGAUACAUAAUCCUAUCUACUAUUUACAUGGCGUGAGGAUUUUAAUUGUCUCUGCACCUAGUAUAUCAAAACUAAGGUGCUUAGGAAUGAAGGAUCUGAGUCUUUCCCUGCGGAGACAGCCCUGAAGAACUCCUGUAACGUCAAGCUGGCGAUUUCCAAGAAGCAAUCCGGGACCUACAUUCCCAAAGAGACCCACAAGAAAGAAAAGACAUGAGGCUCUGAAGCACCGACACCAUGUAGAUCUCAGUGCUGCCUGUUCCUGGGGUGGGCUGAUAAGAGCAUCCCUGCUCUCCCGGCCCUCGACUUCUGCAGCCCUCAGAAUCCCCUGCUCUCUCAUCAAAUACAAACUUUAAAACGAUGGUACCCAUGAGACAGCCCUGGGAAAAAGCAUAUUAGGGACACUCCUUAUGGAGGAGAAGCUGAUUCUACUAAUGGUGCGUUUUCAGUAAAUGAGAAACGGACUCUGAUCGAAAUUAAAUCUGUGGUUCAACGAAGGUUUUUAGUAUUCUCUUCCUUAGUGCCUAAUGUGGAAAGGUAUGCGCCCAAGUUUACAACUGUUUUCCUCAUCCCACCAUCCUUUGGGGUUGGAUCCAAAAGACUUGGAACCAUUCCUGCUUCCCAAGUCAAGCACCAGGUUGAGGGGGACUCAGUAUGUUCCAGGCCCUGACACAGACUGGCAUCAUAAAUGACGGGGAGUCCCACAAGUCCUCCAAACCCAGUCUGGCCCAGGGCUUGCCACCACCACAUGCCAGAUGGCCACCCCACAUGCAAAGAUGUGGCAGCACCACCCUCUCCACACACCCUGACCCCACGGGCCUCAGAAAGGAGGCUCAGGUUCUGACAGAACAUCUGGUGAAUACCAGCAUUCUUCCCCUUUGUUGGAAGUAUUAGAGUCACGUGAGAGGGGUAAGGCGAGGGAAGGGUGGUCCGUGACCUGCAGAACAGAAUGCCCCCCCAGCAGAGCUGUUCGCCGCACACAAGGAAAUGCGUGUCUAGAUUAGGAGUACUCACCGGUGACAUCUAGGCCACUUGCUCACCCUUUACACCUUACCCUCUAAGGUGCCACCAGUGUGCCUUCACAGAGGUCCCCAAAGGACCCAGAAACUGGAGUACUGCUUAUUCAUUAUUUCCAGAGAGAGAGAGGAUCUGAGGUGACUUGUCGUGAAAGGCCCACAAAUAAAACUGAUCAAGUGAGAAUAAAGAAUGAAAUGAUGAAAUGAACAAAAAUUGUCGUAAAGAUAACGGAGGCCAAGUCUGGGUGCGGCAACAGCGUAGCAUGUAGUCGGAUGCCUCCUGACACUACGGGGAGAAGUUCCACAAGUUACGGCCAGUUGUAAUUACAGAGUAUCAACUCUCAAAUGGCACAACACCCGGCUGGCUUCUGCUUCCGUUUCAGAUGAAAACUGGCUGUACAUUCAGCUUGUGAUAUCUACGUGUUGCCUAAAAGAUGUUGAAUCUCAUCUGUGUGGGUGAUACAGAGAUUGGCCCUAGGCUGCCCUGGCUCUCGGUGAUUUGCGGACAGACACGGAAGGAGGUCUUCUCGAAAACUCAAUCACAAAGGGAAGGCACUCAUCAGACCUCAAGGGACCCAUAGUCUGGUUCCAACUGUCAGAGCUUGAUUUUCCUUACCUCAAAGUCAUUUCCUUUGUUAUAGUGCAUAUUGAGAGCUCGAAAAAGUUCUGAGUCUCGGAGUACCACCAGCAUUUUGGGAUUUGUGACACCAUCUGAAAUCGCUUGCCGGGCAGAUUUUUCCAUUUGGAUGUAAUAAAACUCACGAAAGUUGCUGAACCACUUGAUCAUCUGGGAGGUAAUGCAGCGGUUGAACUGUACAAACAACAGGGCCCAUCAGGUCGGAUGUUUGCCAUGAGGUGCUCAGAGCCAGAACUCUCAGCCUCCAUUUCAACAUAGGGCUUAAUAAGGAUGGCUUCAGCCACCAUGAGAAAGGGCUUUCUUUAAAAAAGAAGUCACAGCCGUUUUCCUAGCCUUUUCACUUGUACACAGAAAAAUCCAAAUUAGCUAUAAUGCCGAUUAGAAAAUACUGUUUUGAUGUACUUACUAUAUUUAUGACUUUUUUACCCACGAAAAGAUUUCCAUGGUGUCUACUGUGACUUUGGGAGGGUUUCGGGUCAAAGCCAGUGUGGUACCAGCUUCUGCUGCACCUGGGCAGGUGGCACAGCAGCCCCAGAGCUCUCUGCCGAGUCAAGGGCAAAAGGAAGGGAUAAGGGUAUAGAGCAGAGAGCAGGCCAUUGCAACCUUGGAGUUGCAGAAUGAAUCGAAAUCAGAGCUUGGUGCAGGAGUCAACCAAGCAACCGAAUAUGAGGGAAAGAUCUGGAAAACACAAAGAAGUAGAUUCAAAGUAUUAGCUGCCCUCUCCCAACACCCAGGGUAAGGGAACAGGCAUAGUCUGGUUCCAGCUGUCAGAGCUUGAUUUUCCUUAUCAUCAUGCUUGAUGUCUACAUACCUUCAUUCAGUGUUGAAAUACAGCAAUUUGAAUAUAAAUGUGACAAUGUCCAACCCUUUACGUAUUCUAUCUUUUUCAUAGUCUUCCCCAGCAGAGAUAAAACACUAGGCCAAAAAUGCCAUUUACUUAUGUUUCUCUCUCCCCUCCACCCUUCCUCCCCAUGGGUUUGUAUACCUACAGGUCAAAAGCUUAAAAUUCAGAUACCCAACCUUUGUGGCCCAAAGUUAUUCAUACAGAGUCUCAGCCCAGAACUGGGAAUUGUACCGAUCCCAUCAGCAACAUGAAGGGGACCUGAGGUGCACAUAAGAUGACCUAGGACUUGCCUCCCACUGGGCAAAACCAUUCCCUCUUGGGAGUUUUUCAGAGGCUUUCAGAGGUGAAGAAUGACUUUACCUGGACAUCAGGGAAAUAAGCCUUCAGCAGGUUGGAGCUGGGGUAGCGUGUGAAGAAAAACAUGAGUUUGGCCUUCUUCAAGUGACCAGGAUUUAGGCCCUCCUGGAUUUAUCUCAGCGUCAAGGAAAACUAACACCGCUUUAUCACGUGAUUUUUAUCCGUUAAUCCAAAUAAUGACUUGUCCUGUUCCUGACGGUUUCUUUUUUUCUUUUGUUUCAUUUUUUCUGGGCGAAUGGUGUAUUAGUUCCAUUCUUCUGUCUGAUCAGAUAAGCUCUUUCUUAGGGCGCCUGGCUGGAUCAGUCGGUAAAACCAGUGACUCCUGAUCUCGGGGUUGUGAAUUCAAGUCCCACACUGGACCUAGAGCUUACUUAAAAACUAAGAAAAAAGCUUUUGCUUUCCAGAUGCUCAAUACCAUAUAUGUACCGUAAAUUUGCAGAAUUCAAAAAACAUUUUGAGUGUGAAAGUUCUACAGCCUUUAUGACAUCAAAUACAGUUUGUUGUACUUUGUGUGUGUGCUUUCAGAACAGGAUGGGGAAAGAUGGCAGGUCUGUCCCAGAUUUCAAAGCCCCACGUAGAGAUUUCAUUCCCCUUCUGGGCCUCAGUUUCUUCAUCUGUAAAAUGAGACAAGCCCACUAGAUGGUCCCCAUUCUAUUCGCAGAGCUCCCUUUGCAGUGUUUAAGCCAAUGAACACCUAACCUGCCUGAGUACAAGAGCACAGUUGGCUCCAGCUCAGGAAGCUUGAACUUCUCGGCUGUGUCUGCUCCUCAUUUGCCUGGCAGAGCUUCCCUCACCCUUCCCAGUUCAGCCCAGACACCCUUCCUCUGUGAAAUAUUUCCUUGCUGAAUGAGGCCUUCCUUACCCUGGGCUAUCAAGGCUUUUUGUACAAACCUCUGUUGUAGCAAUGACCUCCCUGGAAUUUUUACUGCAUGUUUGUCUCCCCAUUUAGACUGUGAGCUCCUUGAGGGCAAGGACCUUAUCUUUUCAUCUUUGUAUUCCACAUGCCUAGCCCGGUGCUAGGAACAUAGUAGGUGCUCAAUAAAUGUUGGUUGGAUGAAGGAA
Long non-coding RNA from Acinonyx jubatus (cheetah), 8675 nucleotides. RefSeq lists it as uncharacterized. Lineage: Eukaryota; Metazoa; Chordata; Mammalia; Carnivora; Felidae. The record is from RefSeq and is a predicted model, not a curated record. The transcript has 2 exons.